CACGUAGGGGGCGAGCGUUGUCCGGAAUUACUGGGCGUAAAGGGCGCGCAGGCUGUUAUGCGAGUCUGCUGUGAAAUGUACCGGCUCAACCGGUGCCUUGCGGCGGAUACUGCAUAGCUGGAGUACUGGAGAGGGAAGUGGGAUUCCAGGUGUAGCGGUGAAAUGCGUAGAUAUCGGGAGGAACACCGGUGGCGAAGGCGGCUUUCUGGCCAGUUACUGACGCUCAUGCGCGAAAGCUGGGGUAGCGAACCGGAUUAGAUA
Molecule: ribosomal RNA, 261 nt
Filed under: uncultured prokaryote
Description: partial 16S ribosomal RNA
Rfam family: Bacterial small subunit ribosomal RNA
Source: RNAcentral